AGAGCGGCAGUUUGUGCUCACAGAUGGUGACGGUGUGGAGAGACGGUGGUGUUUCCUCAGAAGAACUAGCAGAGUCACAAAGAGCACCAGUCCAUCUCACCACCUUGACUUGCUGACUGAUGCUCGUCUGCACUGCACAGAGGAAAUCAACUGACCGAGGAGUGUUUCUGAGUGAGGGAGAGAGGAGUCAUCAUCCAGAUGGGCAGGAUAUCAGUCUUGGACUGUCUAACCUGCCGGAGCAGCACUGAAUGACCACCACACAUGAGCAUGUUCCUGC
Molecule: long non-coding RNA, 277 nt
Organism: Pelmatolapia mariae (spotted tilapia)
Lineage: Eukaryota; Metazoa; Chordata; Actinopteri; Cichliformes; Cichlidae
Exons: 3
Source: RefSeq, a predicted model, not a curated record